RNAcentral lists this transfer RNA (85 nucleotides) under Candidatus Gottesmanbacteria bacterium. RNAcentral describes it as "tRNA-Tyr". It matches the Rfam family "tRNA". From Rfam's summary of the family: Transfer RNA (tRNA) molecules are approximately 80 nucleotides in length. Their secondary structure includes four short double-helical elements and three loops (D, anti-codon, and T loops). Lineage: Bacteria; Candidatus Gottesmaniibacteriota. The record is from RNAcentral.
GCUGAGAUGGCGGAGAGGACAAUCGCAAGAGACUGUAAAUCUCUCGACCGUAAGGUCUACCCAGGUUCAAAUCCUGGUCUCAGCA